UUUAUUUUAUAGGAUAUGUUUAGCAUACAAACUUGCAAAUACUCCAGACCACAAUUUGAUUUGAGCAAUGGAGAAUCUAAAGCCCACACAUUCCAUUCCCAGAGACUAAACAAUCAUAUUAAGCAACAGCAACAGCUUCUGUAGGCUUCGAUUCUGGCUCAGCUGGUGCUUCUUCAGUCUUUGAUUCUGGAGCUUCAGCAGGCUUCGUUUCUAGUGCAGCUGGUGUUUCAGCCGUCUUUGAUUCUGGUGCAGCUGGUGCUUCUGCUGCUUCCCAGUAAGAAGAUGCCUUCCCGGUUUUAGAAACGGUCUGCAGAACAGCUUCUGGCUGGACAUUGCCCUUCAC
Molecule: long non-coding RNA, 343 nt
Filed under: Olea europaea (common olive)
Lineage: Eukaryota; Viridiplantae; Streptophyta; Magnoliopsida; Lamiales; Oleaceae
Description: long non-coding RNA (OEUR_LNC000057)
Source: RNAcentral